AACCUAGCACACCUGCGGUGUGUACCUGCGGAAGGAUCAUUAACCUUUCAAAUCAGGGUGCGGCGCGGCCCCCGAGGAGCGGAAACAAUCCUUGGGAGGUAUGCGGGGGCUUCGAGCCCCCCAUUUACGCACGCACGACUGCCAUCCUUACUUUACGAGCACCUUCUGUUCUCCCUCGGCGGGGCAACCUGCCGUUGGAACCGAAUAAACUCUUUUUGCAUCUAGCAUUACCUGUUCCGU
RNAcentral lists this unclassified non-coding RNA (240 nucleotides) under soil metagenome. RNAcentral describes it as "partial contains 5.8S ribosomal RNA, internal transcribed spacer 2, and large subunit ribosomal RNA". The record is from RNAcentral.